RNAcentral lists this ribosomal RNA (488 nucleotides) under uncultured Armatimonadota bacterium. Its description in RNAcentral is "bacterial SSU rRNA". It matches the Rfam family "Bacterial small subunit ribosomal RNA", at positions 67 to 583 of the family's 1533-position model. Lineage: Bacteria; Bacillati; Armatimonadota. The record is from RNAcentral.
CGGGGACUUCGGUCCUAGUGGCGAACGGUCGCGUAACACGUAAGCAACCUGCCCUGAAGUGGGGGACAACAUCCCGAAAGGGGUGCUAAUACCGCAUGUGGUCACGAGUCGGCAUCGGCUUGUGUCUAAAGAUUUAUCGCUUCAGGAUGGGCUUGCGGCCUAUCAGGUAGUUGGUGGGGUAAUGGCCUACCAAGCCGACGACGGGUAGCUGGUCUGAGAGGACGAUCAGCCGGAUUGGGACUGAGAUACGGCCCAGACUCCUACGGGGGGCAGCAAUUAGGAAUCUUGCGCAAUGGGGGGAACCCUGACGCAGCGACGUCGCGUGAAGGAUGAAGGCCCUCGGGUCGUAAACUUCUUUUGAGUGGGAAGAAAUUUGACGGUACCACUCGAAUAAGCCCCGGCUAACUACGUGCCAGCAGCCGCGGUAAUACGUAGGGGGCGAGCGUUGUCCGAAGUUACUGGGCGUAAAGCGCGCGUAGGCGGUUAUU